CCCGAAGAAGAAGAACACUUAUACGCUCCAAAGUCACUAACAGGUUGCAC
This 50-nucleotide small RNA is filed under the name Arabidopsis thaliana (thale cress). RNAcentral's name for it is "ATSL141410". The record is from RNAcentral. Lineage: Eukaryota; Viridiplantae; Streptophyta; Magnoliopsida; Brassicales; Brassicaceae.